CCGAAACCCUGGAGGGUGCUGUGCGGCCUGGCCUGGGAGCCCAUGCCUGCAGAGGGUCCUCCGUUAGCAGCAAGCCGGCCCCCACCCUCGGCCCUGCCCACGGAUGGCACAGACACCCAGGACACUCAAGGAGGCAGAAACCAGGAGGAGGGGCACCCCGCAGAGCGACACUGCUCCUGGGCUCACCUGCGCGGCCGCGCGAACCUUCUGGUACAAGCUGUUCCCGUGCAGAGGAUCUGGGGGCCCUGCAAAAGCUGCAGAACAGAAAAGGCAAGUCGGGGGCAGGGCUGAGCCUGGCACCGCUGCUCCCUGUGGAGCACGGUGCCCUGGGCCCACUCCAGGGUGGCAAGUUCCUGCCACCAAGGCCCUUCUGUCACAGCCAAUGGGAUGCCCUCCUCCAGGACCCUGCAGAGGCCACACCUGAGCAGACCCUCAGCUCCCCCUCACCCAUGCCCCACAGAGGCGAGACUCUCUCCACAGCAACCACCUCGUCUCCCCCAGGGUCGGCAACCCCUGGUGCCUGAGCGGGUGUGGCCUCCCCGAAGCCCACUCUCCCUGCCCCAGGUGCACCAGGGACCCCUCAGAGGCUUCCGGGGCCUGGAGGGAGAAACCAGCGUUCUUAUCACAGCCUGAAAGCUCCACCUAGCCCCACCCAACCCCAGUCUCAGCCGCCUCGAGCUCCCCUGCUCUGAGAGUUCCUGUCAUGAUGAACUGGGGCUUCUUUCCUUAAAUCUUCCGGCCCCAGGGCCCCCCAAGCCUACACCUGGGGCCGCGGCAUCCUUUCAGGGCUCAGGCUGAGAGCUGUGCCUCUGAGAACCCCUCGAGAGCCUCUGUCACAGGCGAAUCCACUCACGCCCCUCGGCCGUCUACCUCCACCCUGGCAGGCUGGUCCCGUGAUUCGGAGACGAUGCUCCUGGCUGUCCCUGGGCCCAGGGCUGGCGGCCACAAGCUGAGUCAAUGGCUGGAUGAACUGACACCCUGAGGCUGCCAUCUUCCCUGCAGGAGCCCAGGGCACCCACCUGCCACCCCACGCUGCCCCUGCUCUGUGACAGAGCAGGAGCAUCACCAUCUUGGACAAGCCCCUCAUUCUAAAGUUCACCUUAACCAAAAACUGCCUAAAUCCAUAGGGCAUCAGCCUAAUGGCUAAGGUCAGCACGACCAUGAACCACAAAUAACAUCUCCAACCAGAAACAUUCCAAACUCCUCCCCAACCAGAGACAUGCUAGCCCCAAGAUAACCCUUCUCCAGCCGGGAAGAUGCCAGCUUCGAGAAAACCCACCUCCAGGCUGAAAAGAUGCCUGCCCCAAGAUAACCUUCCCUCCUUCCAACCCUGCCAUAAACUUCUCCACACACAUAAACAUUCCGAGCUUCUGAUAAGCCCUCUCAUCCUAAAACCAACAUUCAGUCUGUAAGAUAAAGUGCUCCUGACCGCAAUCGGCUGGGGGUGCCUCUCAGGUUUUAACUAAAGAAAAUCUGUCUGUAACUGCCA
Long non-coding RNA from Homo sapiens (human), 1489 nucleotides. RefSeq lists it as uncharacterized. NCBI's taxonomy places the organism in Eukaryota, Metazoa, Chordata, Mammalia, Primates, Hominidae. The record is from RefSeq and is a predicted model, not a curated record. The transcript has 2 exons.